UACGUAGGUGGGAAGCGUUGUCCGGAAUUAUUGGGCGUAAAGCGCGCGCAGGCGGUUAUGUUAGUCUGAUGUUAAAGCCCGGGGCUCAACCUCGGUUCGCAUUGGAAACUGCGUAACUUGAGUGCAGAGGAGGAAAGUGGUAUUCCUCGUGUAGCGGUGAAAUGCGUAGAUAUGUGGAGGAACAACAGUGGCGAAGGCGACUUUCUGGUCUGUAACUGACGCUGAGGCGCGAAAGCGUGGGGAGCAAACAGG
RNAcentral lists this ribosomal RNA (252 nucleotides) under uncultured bacterium. Its description in RNAcentral is "partial 16S ribosomal RNA". It matches the Rfam family "Bacterial small subunit ribosomal RNA", at positions 524 to 776 of the family's 1533-position model. The record is from RNAcentral.